Molecule: non-coding RNA, 351 nt
Organism: Pelobates cultripes (western spadefoot toad)
Lineage: Eukaryota; Metazoa; Chordata; Amphibia; Anura; Pelobatidae
Source: the annotation of a GenBank genome assembly
CACAGACACAUGGGGGCACAGUGUCCCCAUGUCUCCCAGUGUCCCCAUGUCUCCCAGCCAGUGUCCCUGGUGUCUCAGUUCCCCCUAGUCUCCCAGUGCCCAGAGUCUGCCAGUGUCUCACUGUCCCCAUGUCUCCUAGUGCCUCCAUGUCUCCCAGUGCCUCAAUGUCCCCAUGUCUCCAAGCUAGUGUCCCUAGUGAAUGUGGCCCUGGUGUCUCCUUGUCCCCAUGUCUCCCAGUGCCCCCAUGUCCCCCAGCCAGUGUCUCUAGUGUCUGUGUCCCUGGUGUCUGCAGGGCCGGAUUAACAUAGGGGCUGAUGGAGCUGCAGCUCUAGGCCCAGGCCCAUGGAAUAG